GUUGGGUAGGGGAGCGUUCUGUAAGCCUGUGAAGGUGGCCUGUGAGGGUUGCUGGAGGUAUCAGAAGUGCGAAUGCUGACAUAAGUAACGAUAAAGCGGGUGAAAAGCCCGCUCGCCGGAAGACCAAGGGUUCCUGUCCAACGUUAAUCGGGGCAGGGUGAGUCGACCCCUAAGGCGAGGCCGAAAGGCGUAGUCGAUGGGAAACGGGUUAAUAUUCCCGUACUUGGUGUUACUGCGAAGGGGGGACGGAGAAGGCUAUGUUGGCCGGGCGACGGUUGUCCCGGUUUAAGCGUGUAGGUGUGUGUUCCAGGUAAAUCCGGUUCACUUUAACACUGAGGCGUGAUGACGAGGCACUACGGUGCUGAAGCAACAAAUGCCCUGCUUCCAGGAAAAGCCUCUAAGCAUCAGGUAACAUCAAAUCGUACCCCAAACCGACACAGGUGGUCAGGUAGAGAAUACCAAGGCGCUUGAGAGAACUCGGGUGAAGGAACUAGGCAAAAUGGUGCCGUAACUUCGGGAGAAGGCACGCUGACAUGUAGGUGAAGUGAUUUACUCAUGGAGCUGAAGUCAGUCGAAGAUACCAGCUGGCUGCAACUGUUUAUUAAAAACACAGCACUGUGCAAACACGAAAGUGGACGUAUACGGUGUGACGCCUGCCCGGUGCCGGAAGGUUAAUUGAUGGGGUCAGCGCAAGCGAAGCUCCUGAUCGAAGCCCCGGUAAACGGCGGCCGUAACUAUAACGGUCCUAAGGUAGCGAAAUUCCUUGUCGGGUAAGUUCCGACCUGCACGAAUGGCGUAAUGAUGGCCAGGCUGUCUCCACCCGAGACUCAGUGAAAUUGAACUCGCUGUGAAGAUGCAGUGUACCCGCGGCAAGACGGAAAGACCCCGUGAACCUUUACUAUAGCUUGACACUGAACAUUGAGCCUUGAUGUGUAGGAUAGGUGGGAGGCUUUGAAGCGUGGACGCCAGUCUGCAUGGAGCCGGCCUUGAAAUACCACCCUUUAAUGUUUGAUGUUCUAACGUGGACCCGUGAUCCGGGUUGCGGACAGUGUCUGGUGGGUAGUUUGACUGGGGCGGUCUCCUCCUAAAGAGUAACGGAGGAGCACGAAGGUUGGCUAAUCCUGGUCGGACAUCAGGAGGUUAGUGCAAUGGCAUAAGCCAGCUUGACUGCGAGCGUGACGGCGCGAGCAGGUGCGAAAGCAGGUCAUAGUGAUCCGGUGGUUCUGAAUGGAAGGGCCAUCGCUCAACGGAUAAAAGGUACUCCGGGGAUAACAGGCUGAUACCGCCCAAGAGUUCAUAUCGACGGCGGUGUUUGGCACCUCGAUGUCGGCUCAUCACAUCCUGGGGCUGAAGUAGGUCCCAAGGGUAUGGCUGUUCGCCAUUUAAAGUGGUACGCGAGCUGGGUUUAGAACGUCGUGAGACAGUUCGGUCCCUAUCUGCCGUGGGCGCUGGAGAACUGAGGGGGGCUGCUCCUAGUACGAGAGGACCGGAGUGGACGCAUCACUGGUGUUCGGGUUGUCAUGCCAAUGGCACUGCCCGGUAGCUAAAUGCGGAAGAGAUAAGUGCUGAAAGCAUCUAAGCACGAAACUUGCCCCGAGAUGAGUUCUCCCUGAGACUUAAAGUCUCCUGAAGGAACGUUGAAGACGACGACGUUGAUAGGCCGGGUGUGUAAGCGCAGCGAUGCGUUGAGCUAACCGGUACUAAUGAACCGUGAGGCUUAACCUUACAACGCCGA
Molecule: ribosomal RNA, 1735 nt
Filed under: Salmonella enterica
Lineage: Bacteria; Pseudomonadati; Pseudomonadota; Gammaproteobacteria; Enterobacterales; Enterobacteriaceae
Description: bacterial LSU rRNA
Rfam family: Bacterial large subunit ribosomal RNA
Source: RNAcentral